This 21-nucleotide small RNA is filed under the name Arabidopsis thaliana (thale cress). RNAcentral describes it as "ATSL122590". Lineage: Eukaryota; Viridiplantae; Streptophyta; Magnoliopsida; Brassicales; Brassicaceae. The record is from RNAcentral.
UGAAUAGUAUGCAUUCCUUCU